CAAAAGUGAGUACACCCCUAAGUGAAAAUGUCCAAACAUAUGAAGCAUAUGACCUGAAACAAACAAACAAAGGUUUAUGCAUCAUGUUAUCUACACAGACCUCAUUAGUUAGGACAAGGUUUACGACUGGUUUAUAAGUCAUGUUACCUACACAGACCUCAUUAGUUAGGACAAGGUUUACGACUGGUUUAUAAAUCAUGUUACCUACACAGACCUCAUUAGUUAGGACAAGGUUUACGACUGGUUUAUAAAUCAUGUUACCUACACAGACCUCAUUAGUUAGGACAAGGUUUACGACUGGUUUAUAAAUCAUGUUACCUACACAGACCUCCUUAGUUAGGACAAGGUUUACGACUGGUUUAUAAAUUAUGUUACCUACACAGACCUCCUUAGUUAGGACAAGG
This is a long non-coding RNA of Oncorhynchus tshawytscha (Chinook salmon), 404 nucleotides long. Lineage: Eukaryota; Metazoa; Chordata; Actinopteri; Salmoniformes; Salmonidae. The record is from Ensembl.